This 433-nucleotide ribosomal RNA is filed under the name uncultured bacterium. Its description in RNAcentral is "partial 16S ribosomal RNA". It matches the Rfam family "Bacterial small subunit ribosomal RNA", at positions 29 to 507 of the family's 1533-position model. The record is from RNAcentral.
AACGAACGCUGGCGGCAUGCCUAACACAUGCAAGUCGAACGAAACCUUCUGGUCUAGUGGCGCACGGGUGCGUAACGCGUGGGAUCCUGCCCUUAGGUUCGGAAUAACUCCCCGAAAGGGGUGCUAAUACCGGAUAAUGUCUUCGGACCAAAGAUUUAUCGGCUUUGGAUGGGCCCGCGUUGGAUUAGCUAGUUGGUAGGGUAAAAGCCUACCAAGGCGACGAUCCAUAGCUGGUCUGAGAGGAUGAUCAGCCACACUGGGACUGAGACACGGCCCAGACUCCUACGGGAGGCAGCAGUGGGGAAUAUUGGACAAGGGGCGAAAGCCUGAUCCGGCAAUGCCGCGUGAGUGAUGAAGGCCUUAGGGUUGUAAAGCGCUUUUACCCGGGAUGAUAAUGACAGUACCGGGAGAAUAAGCACCGGCUAACUCCGUG